CACACCUGGCAUACUAAGCACCUGAAGAGCCAACACAAAGCCGAUCAGGACAUGCCCCCCACUUUACUCCGCUCUUCCCCCUCACUAUGGCUCCCUUGAAGUAUCCCUUAGAACAGCAAUAGUGAGGUUAUGGCUGCAAUAUCAGUGGUACACUGCUCUACGGUGUCCUCGACAUCGCCCACACGGAGGAGUGUAAAUGGAAGAGACUAUGCUGCUGAGGUAAAUGUCCCUGUGAUCCUGAUUUUCAUUACAAUAUUAUGUCUGGUCCACUGUUUUAAUAUUGUCGCUCGGCCAACCUGUGCUUUUAUGGAUCCUGGGGUUAGGGCUGGCCCUGAUAGUGUUGUUGCCCUAGCCAAGACUUUACAUUGCCCCCCCCCCCCAAACUAUGACACACUAUGCUCUACCUCCAAAUGAUGAUACUGAUCUCACUUCUAUUGAAUACUAAGAUAUUAAUUGAUGUUUGCAUGCUCGUCCAUGAAACAUGACCUGUUGUAUUUCAUUUGAUAGCUAUUUCAAUGUUCAGAAAGGGUAUGGGGUGGUAGUAGAGUAGUUCAGUAAGAGGAUGACGGUAGUGCCAAGUAUCCCUUCCUUUUCACAUUUGAAUUUCAGGAGGACAUAAAAAUGUUUUUAGACGAUUGUGUGUUUGCACAAGGCCUCACAGCUGCGAGCAGAUUUUUGUAAAUCAACCCAUGGUAAGGAGGAGUGCAGUGAAGCAAGGGAUCCCGAGUAAUUGUUGGUUCAUGACCUCAGCAUACAGAGACCCUCCACCUGAAGACCUAACUUCCUGCAAUCACCCGACACUAAAUGUCUUACAUUGAAAUAAA
This is a long non-coding RNA of Clupea harengus (Atlantic herring), 824 nucleotides long. NCBI's taxonomy places the organism in Eukaryota, Metazoa, Chordata, Actinopteri, Clupeiformes, Clupeidae. The record is from Ensembl.